UUUGAAUAGCAUUUGCAUUGACAUUAUCAAUAACCCUUUGGCCCUCAUUUUCCACUUCAUUUCCUCCCAUUUCAUCAUCACUGUGCAUCGUAUCUAGAAGUUGACCGUCUUCUAAGACUUCCUCUGUUUGGUUGAGCCAUAAUUUCCCUGCUAUUCAUUUUUCUUUUUCAUUGGCCUUGAAUUUGUCAAAAUCUGCAUCUUCAACAAAUGCAUUUUCUUUGUUUUUUGCUAAAUGUUGGUCAUCUUUGGUGUCCUGUGAACGAAUGUCUUGACAUGAGGUAUUGACCUGAACUGCAUUCUUUUUGAAGGUCGCCUGAACCCAUUGGACAAUUGAGUAAUUGUUAAAAUGCUGCUCUUUCCCCACCUUUUCUUGUACCCAAUCUGCUUGACUCUCUAUUGUGUUCAAGAUUUCUUUUUGCUAUAUGGUUGAAUGUAGGUCUGCAUGGUUUAGUUUCUUUGUUUGAGUGUUGGUUGGUUGUCUCCUGGAAGAGCUAGGAGAAGUUGUUUUUUGUACCAUUUGUGAAGUUGACGCAUAAAAUUCCUGUUCAUGCAAAACGUUUUCCACAUCUGUUGUGCGCUUAUUAUGCACAAUAUCAUUGUUGCUUGUGGUUUUUUGAACUGUAGAUUCCUGUACAACUGCCAGUUGGUUACCUAUAUCAUCCACAUCAUUUUCCGUUUCUAAGACUGCAAAUUGGUUAGUAUUUUGGAUUUGUUUUUUGACAUUGGAAUUGUUAGCAAUAACUAUUUCUUUACCUUGUGCAGCAGAAAUUCAGUUUGUUUUCCUUUGUUAAGAACCCUAUUGUCGCGG
This 808-nucleotide long non-coding RNA is filed under the name Nicotiana benthamiana. RNAcentral describes it as "long non-coding RNA (NBEN_LNC020551)". Lineage: Eukaryota; Viridiplantae; Streptophyta; Magnoliopsida; Solanales; Solanaceae. The record is from RNAcentral.